GAUGAAGAACGUAGCGAAAUGCGAUAAGUAAUGUGAAUUGCAGAAUUCAGUGAAUCAUCGAAUCUUUGAACGCACAUUGCGCCCGCCAGUAUUCUGGCGGGCAUGCCUGUUCGAGCGUCAUUUCAACCAUCAAGCCCCCGGCUUGUGUUGGGGACCUGCGGCUGCCGCAGGCCCUGAAAACCAGUGGCGGGCUCGCUAGUCACUCCGAGCGUAGUAAUACAUCUCGCUCAGGGCGUGCUGCGGGUUCCGGCCGUUAAAAAGCCUUAUUUACCCAAGGUUGACCUCGGAUCAGGUAGGAAGACCCGCUGAACUUAAGCAUAUUAAUAAGCGGAGGA
RNAcentral lists this unclassified non-coding RNA (335 nucleotides) under soil metagenome. RNAcentral describes it as "partial contains 5.8S ribosomal RNA, internal transcribed spacer 2, and large subunit ribosomal RNA". The stretch from base 1 to 120 matches the Rfam family "5.8S ribosomal RNA", at positions 35 to 154 of the family's 154-position model. The record is from RNAcentral.